CAGCAGUAGCCGCGGUAAUACAGAGGGUGCGAGCGUUAAUCGGAUUUACUGGGCGUAAAGCGUGCGUAGGCGGCUUCUUAAGUCGGAUGUGAAAUCCCUGAGCUUAACUUAGGAAUUGCAUUCGAUACUGGGAAGCUAGAGUAUGGGAGAGGAUGGUAGAAUUCCAGGUGUAGCGGUGAAAUGCGUAGAGAUCUGGAGGAAUACCGAUGGCGAAGGCAGCCAUCUGGCCUAAUACUGACGCUGAGGUACGAAAGCAUGGGGAGCAAACAGGAUUAGAUACCCGUGUAGUCCCUGUUUCUUAUAC
Molecule: ribosomal RNA, 304 nt
Filed under: uncultured bacterium
Lineage: Bacteria
Description: partial 16S ribosomal RNA
Rfam family: Bacterial small subunit ribosomal RNA
Source: RNAcentral